This 373-nucleotide ribosomal RNA is filed under the name uncultured bacterium. RNAcentral's name for it is "bacterial SSU rRNA". It matches the Rfam family "Bacterial small subunit ribosomal RNA", at positions 521 to 896 of the family's 1533-position model. The record is from RNAcentral.
UAAUACGGAGGUGGCAAGCGUUGUUCGGAUUUAUUGGGUGUAAAGGGCAUGUAGGUGUCCUGGUAAGUUCUGAUUGAAAUCCUUCGGCUCAACCGAAGAACGUGUCAGAAUACUGCCAGGAUUGAGUGCGGAAGAGGAGAACGGAAUUCCCGGUGUAAGGGUGAAAUCUGUAGAUAUCGGGAGGAACACCAGUGGCGAAGGCGGUUCUCUGGUCCGCAACUGACACUGAAAUGCGAAAGCUAGGGGAGUAAACAGGAUUAGAUACCCUGGUAAUCCUAGCCGUAAACGAUGGGCACUAGGUGUGGGCCCGCAAGGGUCUGUGCCGCAGUUAACACAUUAAGUGCCCCACCUGGGGACUACGGCCGCAAGGUUG